RNAcentral lists this ribosomal RNA (472 nucleotides) under uncultured bacterium. RNAcentral describes it as "partial 16S ribosomal RNA". It matches the Rfam family "Bacterial small subunit ribosomal RNA", at positions 28 to 507 of the family's 1533-position model. The record is from RNAcentral.
GACGAACGCUGGCGGCGUGCUUAACACAUGCAAGUCGAACGAUGAACCCGGAGCUUGCUCUGGGGGAUUAGUGGCGAACGGGUGAGUAACACGUGAGUAACCUGCCCUGGACUCUGGGAUAAGCGUUGGAAACGACGGCUAAUACCGGAUAGGACCUUGGAUCGCAUGAUCUGGGGUGGAAAGUUUUUUCGGUCUGGGAUGGACUCGCGGCCUAUCAGCUUGUUGGUGAGGUAAUGGCUCACCAAGGCGUCGACGGGUAGCCGGCCUGAGAGGGUGACCGGCCACACUGGGACUGCGACACGGCCCAGACUCCUACGGGUGGCAGCCGUGGGGAAUAUUGCACAAUGGGCGAAAGCCUGCUGCAGCAACGCCGCGUGCGGGAUGACGGCCUUCGGGUUGUAAACCGCUUUUAGUAGGGAAGAAGGGCUUCGGCUUGACGGUACCUGCAGAAAAAGGACCGGCUAACUACGUG